Molecule: ribosomal RNA, 381 nt
Filed under: uncultured eukaryote
Lineage: Eukaryota
Description: partial 18S ribosomal RNA
Rfam family: Eukaryotic small subunit ribosomal RNA
Source: RNAcentral
CAAUAGCGUAUAUUAAAGCUGUUGCGGUUAAAAAGCUCGUAGUUGGAUUUCUGUCAAGGACAACUGGUCCGCCCUCCGGGUGAGCACAUAGUUUGGUCUUGACAUCUUGCUGGAAGCUGUUGCUGCACUUGGCUGUGUGGCGCAGCGUUCAGCACUUUCACUUUGAGGAAAUUGGAGUGUUUCAAGCAGGCACAUGCCUUUGGACACAGUAGCAUGGAAUAAUUAGAUUGGGCUUUUGCUCCAAUUUGUCGGUUUCUGGAGCUGAGGUGAGUAUUAAUGGGGAUUGUUGGGGGCAUCCGAAUUUAGCCGUCAGAGGUGAAAUUCUUGGAUCUGCUAAAGACGGACAACUGCGAAAGCGUUUGCCCAGGAUGUUUNCAUUGA